UGGGGAAUAUUGUGCAAUGGGGGAAACCCUGACACAGCGACGCCGCGUGAGCGAAGAAGGCCUUCGGGUCGUAAAGCUCAAUAGUAUGGGAAGAAGGAAGUGACGGUACCAUACGAAAGCCCCGGCUAACUACGUGCCAGCAGCCGCGGUAAUACGUAGGGGGCGAGCGUUGUCCGGAAUUACUGGGCGUAAAGAGCACGUAGGCGGUCCCUUAAGUCUGAUGUGAAAGCCCACGGCUUAACCGUGGAGGGUCAUUGGAAACUGGGGGACUUGAGUGCAGAAGAGGAGAGCGGAAUUCCACGUGUAGCGGUGAAAUGCGUAGAGAUGUGGAGGAACACCAGUGGCGAAGGCGGCUCUCUGGUCUGUAACUGACGCUGAGGCGCGAAAGCGUGGGGAGCAAACAGG
RNAcentral lists this ribosomal RNA (405 nucleotides) under Bacillota bacterium. RNAcentral describes it as "Firmicutes bacterium partial 16S ribosomal RNA". It matches the Rfam family "Bacterial small subunit ribosomal RNA", at positions 355 to 776 of the family's 1533-position model. Lineage: Bacteria; Bacillati; Bacillota. The record is from RNAcentral.